RNAcentral lists this ribosomal RNA (1104 nucleotides) under Triticum aestivum (bread wheat). RNAcentral describes it as "partial small subunit ribosomal RNA". Lineage: Eukaryota; Viridiplantae; Streptophyta; Magnoliopsida; Poales; Poaceae. The record is from RNAcentral.
AUGAUUGAUACAGGAGUACGACCGGACACGGCUGUUUAUCGUUCCCUAAUCCAGGGAUUUUGUACACAUGGCGAUUUGGUGAAAGCAAAGGAAUAUGUUACUGAAAUGAUGAACAAAGGUAUGCUUCCUCCUGAUAUUAUGUUCUUCAGUUCAAUAAUGCAGAACCUAUGCACGGAAGGAAGGGUAAUAGAAGCACGGGAUAUCCUCGACUUGAUGGUGCACAUAGGUAUGAGGCCUGAUGUUCCCAUCUUUAAUUUGCUGAUAGGUGGAUACUGCCUAGUCUGCAAGAUGGAGGAUGCAACAAAAGUGUUUGAUGAUAUGGUGUCAUAUGGUUUAGAACCUUGUAACAUUACGGAUGGUAUGCUUAUUAAUGGCUAUUGCAAAAAUAGAAGGAUUGAUGACGGGCUUAUUCUGUUCAAAGAGAUGCUGCACAAGGGACUUAAACCUACAACUUUUAAUUAUAACGUCAUCUUGGAUGGAUUAUUUCUGGCUGGACGAACUGUUGCCGCAAAGGAAAAGUUUAAUGAGAUGGUUGAAUCUGGAGUAAGUAUGUGCAUCAGUACUUACUCUAUAGUUCUUGGUGGACUUUGUAGAAAUAGUUGCAGUAGCGAAGCAAUCACACUAUUCCAGAAAUUAAGCACGAUGAAUGUGAAAUUUGAUAUUAGAAUUGUCAAUAUCAUGAUUGGUGCAUUCUACAGGGUUCGGCGAAACCAAGAAGCUAAGGAUUUGUUUGCCGCAAUACCAUCAAAUGGCUUGGCAGCUAAUGUAGUUACCUACAGCAUAAUGAUAAUAAAUCUUAUAAAAGAAGGUUCAGUGGAAGAAGCUGACAAUCUUUUUUUAUCUAUGGAAAAGAGUGGUUGUACCGCUGACUCUUGUAUGUUAAAUCAUAUUAUCAGAAGGCUACUGGAAAAAGGAGAGAUGGUCAAGGCUGGAAAUUAUAUUUCUAAAGUUGAUGCAAAUAGCUACUCACUUGAAGCUAAAACUGUUUCGCUGCUGAUCUCUCUGUUUUCAAGGAAAGGGAAAUAUAGAGAACACAUCACAUUGCUCCCUACAAAGUAUCAGUUUCGUGAAGAAGCGGCCACAGUUGAGUUGUUUGAUACAUGG